AUCAUUAGUGCGAUGGGAAAAUGGUGAAGAGAUCUCCUGAAGAUUUGGGGGAAGAAAACUGCAAGCAAAAUUUGGUGGAGAGUCAGGCUUUGGUCGAGCCACCCUAUAUAUAGUAAAUGAAGGAAGAUAGUGAAGCUUGAAGUCAAAUAAUUGCGUGUGCACAAAGGAGUUACGUUUUUGCCUGUGUGUCUCUCAGAUUUACACUUAUAGUAUUUUAAAGUAUAUUAAAGUAUAAAUGGAUAUGAAAUCAUUAAAUAUGUUACU
Long non-coding RNA from Amblyraja radiata (thorny skate), 264 nucleotides. RefSeq lists it as uncharacterized. The record is from RefSeq and is a predicted model, not a curated record. NCBI's taxonomy places the organism in Eukaryota, Metazoa, Chordata, Chondrichthyes, Rajiformes, Rajidae. The transcript has 2 exons.